GGUAUGAUUCAUGACUGGGGUGAAGUCGUAACAAGGUAACCGUAGGGGAACCUGCGGUUGGAUCACCUCCUUACCU
RNAcentral lists this ribosomal RNA (76 nucleotides) under Pasteurella sp. WM03. RNAcentral describes it as "partial 16S ribosomal RNA". It matches the Rfam family "Bacterial small subunit ribosomal RNA", at positions 1461 to 1533 of the family's 1533-position model. Lineage: Bacteria; Pseudomonadati; Pseudomonadota; Gammaproteobacteria; Pasteurellales; Pasteurellaceae. The record is from RNAcentral.